Long non-coding RNA from Psammomys obesus (fat sand rat), 1056 nucleotides. RefSeq lists it as uncharacterized. NCBI's taxonomy places the organism in Eukaryota, Metazoa, Chordata, Mammalia, Rodentia, Muridae. The record is from RefSeq and is a predicted model, not a curated record. The transcript has 3 exons.
GGACCGGGAGCCGCCGCCGUGAGCCACCGCUUUAGGAGGGCCGAGGGGAGCGGGCGGGGCUGUGCCGAGCACCGCAGCGUUUCCCCGGCCCCCGCCUCUCUGCCGGGUUCUUCUCGCCAACCCGAUUUUUACCGAGGAGGGAGUCCUGAAGCACAGGGGACGCCUGCGCUUUCUGUCAGCGAGGCCUUUCCCUGGGACUGGAGUUACAGGAGGUUGGAAGCUGCCACGCUGGCCCUGGAAACUGAGCUCGGGUCCUCUGCAAGAGCAACUGGUACUCUUAACCACUGCGCCAUCUCCCCAGACCCUCAACUCUCUUUCUCCCUUACCUUUGUAGACGGGACUUGAACAUGUGAAGACUGCAAAGGAUCUUGUGGAUUGGAAACCAGCAAUGGCUGGACAUCUGUCUGCUCAAUGUGAGCCCGCACGGAUGUUCAGAACUUUCCAUGAAAAGGAAGUUGUCUGAAGAAAAACUGCAUGAGGUCACAGGAAACUUCAAUCGACUGAAAACUGAGACGGAAGCUUAUUUGUUCACCAAAGAGUGACAGUCGUGGGUGCUGCCGGCCACUGAAGCACCCAGCAGCACCUGGGACGGGCUGUCAGGCUGUCUGUGUCUUUCCAUCUGCUAAGAGCUGCUGCCAGCAUUGUAAAAUCUAGACUGCUAGAGCCAGAGACGGCUCAGUGGUUAGGGGCACUAGCUGCCCUUCCAGCACCCUAGCAGGUGACCAGCACUCACUCGCACACACCCACACACAGAUACAUAGCCAGAAUCAGUCUUUAAUAAUAAAACAGCCCCAAACACUAUACUGCCAACUUCCCUUGUCCCAAAACUCAGGUUUCACUUCAAACUCAGGCUUCGGACAGAGGGUUGAUGGGACAGAUAGAAGCAAAUUCCUUUCUGCACUUAAGCACUGUGACUCACGAAGGUAAAACACUCCGUUGGAUAGCGCCCGGCACUAGGCUUAACAAGAGGCGGCAGUCUUCAACGCCUCGUUUUCAGACAAGCAGGCAGAGAGGAUAAUAAAGAGCUCGUGUGGGGUGUGGUGAGAGCCCUCAUGG